Molecule: ribosomal RNA, 408 nt
Filed under: bacterium enrichment culture clone ALO1_GLFRUDD03HGH59
Lineage: Bacteria
Description: bacterial SSU rRNA
Rfam family: Bacterial small subunit ribosomal RNA
Source: RNAcentral
GAGUUUGAUCGUGGCUCAGAUUGAACGCUGGCGGCAUGCCUUACACAUGCAAGUCGAACGGCAGCACGGGAGCUUGCUCCUGGUGGCGAGUGGCGAACGGGUGAGUAAUGCAUCGGAACGUAUCCUGGAGUGGGGGAUAACGUAGCGAAAGUUACGCUAAUACCGCAUAUUCUGUGAGCAGGAAAGCGGGGGACCUUCGGGCCUCGCGCUCUUGGAGCGGCCGAUGUCGGAUUAGCUAGUUGGUGAGGUAAAGGCUCACCAAGGUGACGAUCCGUAGCAGGUCUGAGAGGAUGAUCUGCCACACUGGAACUGAGACACGGUCCAGACUCCUACGGGAGGCAGCAGUGGGGAAUUUUGGACAAUGGGGGCAACCCUGAUCCAGCCAUGCCGCGUGAGUGAAGAAGGCCU